RNAcentral lists this ribosomal RNA (506 nucleotides) under uncultured bacterium. RNAcentral's name for it is "partial 16S ribosomal RNA". It matches the Rfam family "Bacterial small subunit ribosomal RNA", at positions 29 to 523 of the family's 1533-position model. The record is from RNAcentral.
AGUGAACGCUGGCGGUAGGCCUGACACAUGCAAGUCGAACGGCAGCACAGAGGAGCUUGCUCCUUGGGUGGCGAGUGGCGGACGGGUGAGGAAUACAUCGGAAUCUACUCUGUCGUGGGGGAAAACGUAGGGAAACUUACGCUAAUACCGCAUACGACCUACGGGUGAAAGCAGGGGAUCUUCGGACCUUGCGCGAUUGAAUGAGCCGAUGUCGGAUUAGCUAGUUGGCGGGGUAAAGGCCCACCAAGGCGACGAUCCGUAGCUGGUCUGAGAGGAUGAUCAGCCACACUGGAACUGAGACACGGUCCAGACUCCUACGGGAGGCAGCAGUGGGGAAUAUUGGACAAUGGGCGCAAGCCUGAUCCAGCCAUACCGCGUGGGUGAAGAAGGCCUUCGGGUUGUAAAGCCCUUUUGUUGGGAAAGAAAUCCAUCUGGUUAAUACCCGGGUGGGAUGACGGUACCCAAAGAAUAAGCACCGGCUAACUUCGUGCCAGCAGCCGCGGUAA